This 571-nucleotide ribosomal RNA is filed under the name uncultured Glomeromycotina. RNAcentral describes it as "SSU rRNA". It matches the Rfam family "Eukaryotic small subunit ribosomal RNA", at positions 548 to 1114 of the family's 1831-position model. Lineage: Eukaryota; Fungi; Glomeromycota. The record is from RNAcentral.
UUGGAGGGCAAGUCUGGUGCCAGCAGCCGCGGUAAUUCCAGCUCCAAUAGCGUAUACUAAAGUUGUUGCAGUUAAAAAGCUCGUAGUUGAAUUUCGGGAUUGACACAUCGGUCGUGCCUUAAGGGGUAUGAACUGGUGUAGCCAAUUUCUCACCUUCUGGAGAACCGCGAUGUCCUUAAUUGGGUGCCGCGAGGAACCAGGACCUUUACUUUGAAAAAAUUAGAGUGUUUAAAGCAGGCAUUUUGCUUGAAUACAUUAGCAUGGAAUAAUAAAAUAGGACGGCAUGAUUCUAUUUUGUUGGUUUCUAGGAUCACCGUAAUGAUUAAUAGGGAUAGUUGGGGGCAUUAGUAUUCAAUUGUCAGAGGUGAAAUUCUUGGAUUUAUUGAAGACUAACUACUGCGAAAGCAUUUGCCAAGGAUGUUUUCAUUAAUCAAGAACGAAAGUUAGGGGAUCGAAGACGAUCAGAUACCGUCGUAGUCUUAACCAUAAACUAUGCCGACUAGGAAUCAGACGAUGUUAAUUUUUUAAUGACUCGUUUGGCACCUUACGGGAAACCAAAGUGUUUGGGUUC